Molecule: transfer RNA, 73 nt
Filed under: Anopheles gambiae str. PEST
Lineage: Eukaryota; Metazoa; Arthropoda; Insecta; Diptera; Culicidae
Description: tRNA-Tyr (GTA) (tRNA-Tyr-GTA-3-1)
Rfam family: tRNA
About the family: Transfer RNA (tRNA) molecules are approximately 80 nucleotides in length.
Source: RNAcentral
CCUUCGAUAGCUCAGUUGGUAGAGCGGUGGACUGUAGAUCCAUAGAUCACUGGUUCAAAUCCGGUUCGAAGGA